CUACACGUGAACCAUUCACCUUAAUAACUUAAUUCCAGGGCCGUCCCCAUACCCCGUCCGGUAUGGGCGCCAAAACCAUGAAUCUCAAUACCCCGUUCGGUAUGAGUGCCAAAAUAUUUAAAGUCUCCAUACCCCGUCCGAUAUGAGAGACAACGUUCCCGGUAAGGUUCCCUAUGGACCCGGUCCAUCCACCAUCUCUCAAGAUAUCUAGUGAGGCUAUCGACUUAUCCAUUUGUCAACUCACAUACUUUUUCUAUUUUUUCUUAGUUUUCUAUUUCUCACAUAAUCAUAAAUAUUUAAACCAGUAACGAGCAUCCAACAAGGCAGAUAUAUCAUCAGAUUCACAAAAUCAAGCCAUAAUGAAGUAAACAGUGAUUCAUGCAUUCAAAACCAUAAAAUAAAUAGAUCAGAUACCAUAAUGCAUUUAAAACUGUAAAAUAA
This 441-nucleotide long non-coding RNA is filed under the name Carica papaya (papaya). RNAcentral's name for it is "long non-coding RNA (CPAP_LNC014729)". The record is from RNAcentral. Lineage: Eukaryota; Viridiplantae; Streptophyta; Magnoliopsida; Brassicales; Caricaceae.